This 1027-nucleotide long non-coding RNA is filed under the name Junco hyemalis (dark-eyed junco). RNAcentral's name for it is "lncRNA (ENSJHYG00000010597.1)". The record is from RNAcentral. Lineage: Eukaryota; Metazoa; Chordata; Aves; Passeriformes; Passerellidae.
GAACAUGGACAGGAACUGGGGGAAGAAGCAUUCUCCCACUGGGUGCUGCUUUCCACCCUCUGAGCCAGUCCCUCACCAGCACACAUGGGAGCAGGCCUGCCUGAGGUGAAGGAGAACACUGACAGGAGGCACAGAUUCAGUUUCUACUCUUCACAUCCUCUGGAAAUACACCUUCCUUCCCAUGGAGCAGAGCUGCUUGCCUUGGGAGCCGAGCCGUGCCAGGACACAGGGAUGCGCUGGCGGCGAGUGCCAUCUUGUGGGGACAGAGCCACGGAGCGGGGACACGGGGACACGGACAGCCCGAGGCACCAGCGGGAUGAUGCGAGCGCCGGGACCGCUCCAGCACCAGCCGCCAAAUUCCCCAUCUCAGAGGCUGAGGCGAGCGUCUUUCUGCCGCUCCGUCAGCUCUCCAGGAGCAGGGAUUAAACCAGACAAGCAACAGCCCACUCGGAGUUCAGACAUUAAACCAGACAUUAAACUCGGAGUUCAGGCAGGUGAGGAUGUUGUGUGUCUUUUCUCAUCUCCCAAAAAAUGUGAACACUGCAUCAGCUGUGCCUUGGAGUUAAGCCUGUAUCAAGGUCUCAUACCAGCACGUUUCAAGACUGUCCUUAAUCUGGAGUGUAAAAUCUCCAUCCUGAAAAAAAAAAAAAAAAAAAAAAAAAAAAAAAAAAAAAAAAGUGCAUUCAUAUUUUAGAUUUACACACAGUUAGAGAAGUACAUUCUAAAUCUUUGCAUGACUGGGGGCAAGGAAGACCAACCUGCUAUUAUUUUUCUUUUCUACUGGCUGUCACACUUCAGUGGCUUCAGCAAGUAAAGGUGAGAGAAAUCAUUUAGUGGCACAUUUCAAGUACAUUUUGCUCAUUUUUGCUCCCAGCUGCAAUUGUCUGUGCUCUGUGGUUUGCAAAACCCUCCAUGCAUGGUGUCCAAGGAAUUCUUAGAGCAAUUUCCUCAUGUAAGACAGGUCAACAUGAAUAAGCAGAGCUGAGUAAAUCACAGCACAGAAAAGUUAAGUGACAUUCCAAAAAUC